GACGAACGCUGGCGGCGUGCCUAAUACAUGCAAGUAGAACGCUGAAGAGAGGAGCUUGCUCUUCUUGGAUGAGUUGCGAACGGGUGAGUAACGCGUAGGUAACCUGCCUGGUAGCGGGGGAUAACUAUUGGAAACGAUAGCUAAUACCGCAUAAAAUUGAUUAUUGCAUGAUAAUUAAUUGAAAGAUGCAACUGCAUCACUACCAGAUGGACCUGCGUUGUAUUAGCUAGUUGGUGAGGUAACGGCUCACCAAGGCGACGAUACAUAGCCGACCUGAGAGGGUGAUCGGCCACACUGGGACUGAGACACGGCCCAGACUCCUACGGGAGGCAGCAGUAGGGAAUCGUCGGCAAUGGGGGGAACCCUGACCGAGCAACGCCGCGUGAGUGAAGAAGGUUUUCGGAUCGUAAAGCUCUGUUGUAAGAGAAGAACGGGUGUGAGAGUGGAAAGUUCACACUGUGACGGUAUCUUACCAGAAAGGGACGGCUAACUACGUG
Molecule: ribosomal RNA, 497 nt
Filed under: uncultured bacterium
Lineage: Bacteria
Description: partial 16S ribosomal RNA
Rfam family: Bacterial small subunit ribosomal RNA
Source: RNAcentral